This 467-nucleotide ribosomal RNA is filed under the name uncultured bacterium. RNAcentral's name for it is "partial 16S ribosomal RNA". It matches the Rfam family "Bacterial small subunit ribosomal RNA", at positions 28 to 523 of the family's 1533-position model. The record is from RNAcentral.
GAUGAAUGCUGGCGGCGUGCCUAACACAUGCAAGUCGAGCGGCAGCGCGAGUAGUUUACUACUUGGCGGCGAGCGGCGGACGGCUGAGUAACGCGUGGGAACGUGCCCCAAAGUGAGGGAUAACGCACCGAAAGGUGUGCUAAUACCGCAUAUGAUCUUCGGAUUAAAGAAUUUAUUCGCUUUGGGAGCGGCCCGCGUCGGAUUAGGUAGUUGGUAGUGUAAUGGCCUACCAAGCCGACGAUCCGUAGCUGGUCUGAGAGGAUGACCAGCCAGACUGGAACUGAGACACGGUCCAGACUCCUACGGGAGGCAGCAGUGAGGAAUCUUCUACAAUGGGCGAAAGCCUGAUGGAGCGACGCCGCGUGCAGGAUGAAGGCCUUCGGGUUGUAAACUGCUUUUAUAAGUGAAGAAUAUGACGGUAACUUAUGAAUAAGCACCGGCUAACUACGUGCCAGCCGCCGCAGUAA